GUAAAAAAUAUCGGUAUCGAAUGCCAAAAGUAUCGAUAUGGUAUCGUAUCGUAUCGAAACUCGUGUCCCUAGCCUUCGCACAUGGAUAUUAAUAAUAACUUAUACACAUAUAUAAAUGUUCAACUAGAUCAAGAGACAUGGCCAAAAGAUUAAGCAUUAAGAAGCGAAACUGAAAAUCUAUUUAAUCAGCCUGAACCACCAUCCAAGAAACGUUUUGAGGAAAUAAUAGUUUAUUUAUCGGAACAGAAGAGCGAAAAAGCAGAGUUCCAAAAAAUUAAUAAGGAGCUAUAGGACGAACUUACUGCAUUUAAAGCUGGAAGGUGUAAUGAAAUUACUGGCAGAACAAUGUUCCUCGCUGAAUGGCGUAUCUACAAAUUUAUUU
Molecule: long non-coding RNA, 382 nt
Organism: Rhagoletis zephyria (snowberry fruit fly)
Lineage: Eukaryota; Metazoa; Arthropoda; Insecta; Diptera; Tephritidae
Source: RefSeq, a predicted model, not a curated record